Non-coding RNA from Lolium perenne, 4586 nucleotides. NCBI's taxonomy places the organism in Eukaryota, Viridiplantae, Streptophyta, Magnoliopsida, Poales, Poaceae. The record is from RefSeq and is a predicted model, not a curated record.
GGAAUGGGAAUUAAGGGGGUACGAGACUAAAUAGCCAUCGUAUGGUUCGGAGUAGUGGGAGUUGUGGCAGGAAGGGGAAGGGGAAUUGCGGAGGGCAACUCCCUCAUAUUUCUUCCCUGGGGGGGACGUGGUAAUUGGAUCGAGAUAGGGAAUUUGACAAAGAAAAAACUUCUCCCGUUAGCUGAACAAAAUCCGCGCGAUGGAAGGAAGGCAAAAAAAGCCCCGCGAAAAUCUUUCCCAGUUCGCGGGAAAAUCCUCUUUAUAUAAGUCUGUAGCUCUCCUCCUCCCUUGAAAUCGCCAAGGUCAACUGCCACCCGAUCUGGACAGAGGCGACCUAGAAAGAGGCGACACAGGUACGAACAGAGUCAGAUCGGGAGCAAGAGUCACCACAGGCCAGAGCAUGGAGGGGGACUUCAUCCAUAUCAAAAUUCAUCACGGGGGUUCUUUUUCAAUGGAAGGUCCACUCACUUAUGAUGGAGGCGAAGUAUCUAUUUUUCGAGAUUGUGACAGUGAGCGUAUAUCAUAUUUUCGUCUAGUUCGCAUGGCUAAAGAUGUAGGUUUCAAGGAUGGUGAUGAGUUAUAUUACACAAUCCCUGAGUGUAGCCUUGAUGAAGGAAUCGAUCUACUUCAUGAUGAUAAUUCUGUUCUUAAAAUGUUGAACUUCGCAAAGAAAAACAACCUUGCAGAGAUAUAUGUUAAGCAUAAAGGGCAUGAAAGCAAUCUUGUUAAUCAAAGAUCUGGUACAGGCAAUAAGGAGAAACUUCCAGAGGAGACAUGGCCCGCCCACCAAAAAAGCGGGAAAUCAUAAUCUUAUGGCACACUAUGAGGCAACGGAGAGUGAAAAUACUAAUAAUAUUAUAUCUGUUAUUGCAAACCUUCAUAAUGUUAAUUAGGAGGCGUCGACGUAGGAUGCGUCGCGUUAGGCAGCCUUCUUGGUAUGAUCCAAUCACACGAGCACAAACACUGAACAACAAAAUACGAGUAAGCGAUACAGAAUGCAUUUACCAGCUACGGAUGGAUAGGCGUUGUUUCCAAGUGUUAUGUUCUUUGGUAAGAGAAAUUGGUGGGGUAAAGGAUAGUAGGAACAUGAGCGUGGAUGAGAUGGUUGCUAUGUUCCUUCACAUACUUGCACAUGAUGAGAAAAAUCGAGCAAUCCAUCAUGAUUUCCAGCGGUCACCUGAAUCAGUUAGUCGGAAUUUUCAUAAAAUUCUAGACGCGGUUUUAAAACUCUGGAGAGUUCUACUUAAGAAGCCUCGACCAAUUCCCGCCAAUUGCACAGAUGGAAGGUGGACGUGGUUUAAGAACUGUUUAGGUGCCUUAGAUGGGACAUAUAUAGAAGUUCACGUGCCCAAAGUUGACAAACCAAGAUUUCGAUCAAGAAAAAAGGAAGUUGCAACUAAUGUCCUUGGCGUUUGUGCGCCAGACAUGCAGUUCAUUUAUGUAUUGCCGGGUUGGGAAGGAUCUGCACAUGAUGGGAGGGUGCUCCGAGAUGCUUUAUCGAGACCAAAUGGCCUUAGGAUUCCUCGUGGAUGUUAUUACCUAGUCGACGCUGGGUACAAGAACUGUGAGGGAUUUCUUGCUCCAUACAGAUGCCAACGAUACCAUCUAAAUGACUGGACAAAUCCCCCAAAUACAAAAGAGGAACUGUUUAACAUGAAGCAUUCAGCAGCCAGAAAUACAAUUGAGAGGACAUUUGGCUUGUUGAAGAUGCGUUGGGGUAUCAUUAGGAAUCCCUCUUAUUAUCCUUUUGAUACACAAGUUGAUAUAAUAUUAGCCUGCUGCUACAUUCACAAUCUCAUACGACAACAAAUGCGUAUUGAUCCUUGUGAGGAAUAUCUAGAUGAGUACAUGCGAAGUCUUCAGCAACAACAUGUAAAUGAGGAUGUCAUUCAGUCCACCGAAGCAUCUUCAGAAUGGACUGAGAAAAGAGACAAGUUAGCCGACGACAUGUGGAAAUCUUGGAAUGAGAAAAGACGAGACAAUUGAUGCAUGGUAGCAGAUAUUAGGUGUAUUACAUUAAAUGUUUGUGUACCUAGCUAUGUGUGUCAAAACAUUAUGUCAUGCUAUUUGUUUUCUCCUAUAUGUCAUAGUACCAUAUCUUUUUCACAUGUUAAUCUAUGAACAUCUUUCUCCCUUGUCGUUUGUUUUCUCUAAUAUGUCUCCUCAAUGUAUGGUCAUAUUUUCCGUUUGUACACAUAUUUCAUUAUCCUAUUUAUAAAAUAGCAGAAUACCAAGUCAAAGAGGAGCAAAUUAACAUCCAAAAAAAGAGACAAGAGAACAUGGACAGCCGAGGAGGAGAAGUUACUGAUUGAUAUUCUCCAUCAAAUGAACGACUCUUCUUGGAAAGUAGACACAGGUCACAAGUCUGGGUAUCUCACGUACAUUGAGAAGGAAAUGGCUAAAGUACUACCACAUGCUGAUCUCAAAGCUGAUCCACACAUCAAGUCAAAAGUGAAGAUUCUGAAGAAGCAACUUUCGUAUGUCCUGGAAAUUAUGCAAAAUGGCAGUGGGUUUGGAUGGGACGAUGAGAUGAAGAUGGUAGUUGGAGAUAGAGACACCUAUAUGGGUUGGGCAAAGUCCCGUGAGGGAGCAGGUCCUCUGUACAUGAAGCCCAUGGUCAACUUUGACAAACUUUGUGAGGUGUAUGCCAGUGAUUUGGCUCAAGGAGGAAGUGCUAAGGGUCCUGGAGAACAGGAAGUGGCAGAAGAUGAAUCCCCUGUACAUGCAGAACCCACUAGUGAACCUAAUAAGAAGAAUGUCGCUCAAGCACAAGAUAACACCAACCCUUCAGGCAGUUCGAGGCAGGGUCGUAAGAGAACGUACCCAGAUGAUGAAGCAGCUGAGCUAGGACUUGUAAGUGUAUCUAAUACACUUGCAAAGUUCUUAGAAGCGGAGCAGGAGAAUGCAAAAACCAUGAGUGGUUUACAGAAGGCAUUGUUUCAUGAAGCCGAAGUUCAUGAUCAAACGUCAGCCAACAGAACCAAGUUACUUGAUGUUCUGCAGAAUCUGGAGGGUCUCACAGACGAAGAAGUCGUCAUGGCUGUUCGUGUCAUUGGUCGUGACGCUGGACAAACAGAAAAAAAAAUCUGUGGCUGCUGCAGUGUCCGUUGGCAAAAGAAAAAAAAAUCAAUCUGAUGGGUACAACAGAAGAGAAAAACGAUUCGGCAACUCCCCAUAUAAUUCCCAUCAAAUUCCAAACGGUGGAAUGGGAGUAAAUGAUAACUUCCCCUGCCCAUUACCCAUACGAACUCCCUACCUCUAACUCCCAAUCCCCUGCCAUCCGUUUACCAAACACGCUGGGAUCCUGGUUCGUCCGUGGUCAUGACGGCGUCAAGGAUGCGAACCACACCGGAGUCAACGGCACGGCCAGGGGCACGACGAAUGACUCAGGUUAUUUCUUCUACCAAUCUCCUCCACAUAGAUUGUCUGUAGCGCAGCGCCCCCUUUUGUUCCUCGAAGUGCUCCGUACAUCGCCUACGGCCGCCUUGCAGCACUCCUCUAUCUCGCCCCCGGGCAUGCUCCUCCUUGAUUUGCUAUCACCAAGUUGCGAGUAUGAAUCCCUGGCUCGAGCCUCGCCUGAUUUCCCGGAUGACUCUUCACAUCCCGAAGUCAAUAGGGCGCCAGGGGUGCUGCUCCUAGAUCUGUUGUGAUUCCUCUAGCCGUGACCAAGAUCAGUUUGACAGCGAGCUUCCCCUGUUUCCCAAUGUUAGUUCUUCCUCUGAUAUGCUGUUCAAUGUGGUCUGGCUUGUGUGCCGUCGGCCAAGAUGUUUCGCGCCUCAGCUGUCCAAGGAUGGGCUGUUCUGUCGCUUAGUCUGGUACUGGCCUCAUUAAUCUUAUCUCGAGUCCCCAUGGUUUCCCUUAUUAUGGAUUUCUCAUUUCUUCAUCGUAAAUUGGAACGCGAGGGGCCUAAACAAUCCUGCCAAGCGGAGGGCUGUCCAUUUUUUUUCUUGAUGGCCUGCAUUGCAAUUUUAUUUGCUUCGAAGAGGUUAAAUUAGCACAGAUUGACAGACCGAUUAUAGCCUAAGCCCUAGGACCAAGAUUCAGUGAUAAUUUCAUCUUCAAAACUGCUGUGGGAACUCGAGGGGGAAUUCGUUUUCAUAAUGCUUCCCGCUGGUACACUUGAUGAUAUGGUGCAAAGUAAUCCCUUCCAUUCUACUAAGAUACGAUUGCUUUCCAUCUGUAGGUAAACUUAUUUUAUUUUAUACUUGCUUUAUACAUUGCGUGUCUUCUGCAAUUGACUCAAUUUCUGAUAUUACCUACACAAGGGCACAAUGGUGAAUUCUACCAGGAUGUUGUUGGUACACAACAUCCUUACUUCUUAAUCAUGUAUCUGAAUGGUGCACAACUUCAAUGCUUUGUUAAUUCUGAAUAACAUUUUUUUUAUUUCUUGAUUGCAGGAUCCAAACAACUAGCUGGACUGGACACUAGAUGACAUACAUAGUUUAGUCUUGGCACUAAAUUAGGAUGCUAAAUUAUAUAUAAGUUUCAUUUGAUAGAUAUUUUCUACGGCAAUUAUGAUUUUUAUGAAUCAAUAUGUAUAUUAUACACAUGGUUUUGAAUUUUGUAAUUGAAUGCAUGGGUUUUUA